CGCAGGGCUACACCCUGCGCUGACAGAUGUCGCCCUUUCAGGGCU
This 45-nucleotide small RNA is filed under the name Candidatus Vecturithrix granuli. Its description in RNAcentral is "Acido-Lenti-1 RNA". It matches the Rfam family "Acido-Lenti-1 RNA". The record is from Rfam by way of RNAcentral. Lineage: Bacteria; Candidatus Moduliflexota; Candidatus Vecturitrichia; Candidatus Vecturitrichales; Candidatus Vecturitrichaceae.